GACGAACGCUGGCGGCGUGCUUAACACAUGCAAGUCGAACGGAAAGGCACUGCUUUUGUGGGGUGCUCGAGUGGCGAACGGGUGAGUAACACGUGAGUAACCUGCCCUUGACUUUGGGAUAACUUCAGGAAACUGGGGCUAAUACCGGAUAGGAGCUCCUGCUGCAUGGUGGGGGUUGGAAAGUUUCGGCGGUUGGGGAUGGACUCGCGGCUUAUCAGCUUGUUGGUGGGGUAGUGGCUUACCAAGGCUUUGACGGGUAGCCGGCAUGAGAGGGUGACCGGCCACAUUGGGACUGAGAUACGGCCCAGACUCCUACGGGAGGCAGCAGUGGGGAAUAUUGCACAAUGGGCGGAAGCCUGAUGCAGCAACGCCGCGUGCGGGAUGACGGCCUUCGGGUUGUAAACCGCUUUCGCCUGUGACGAAGCGUGAGUGACGGUAAUGGGUAAAGAAGCACCGGCUAACUACGUG
This 468-nucleotide ribosomal RNA is filed under the name uncultured bacterium. Its description in RNAcentral is "partial 16S ribosomal RNA". It matches the Rfam family "Bacterial small subunit ribosomal RNA", at positions 28 to 507 of the family's 1533-position model. The record is from RNAcentral.